RNAcentral lists this ribosomal RNA (497 nucleotides) under uncultured bacterium. Its description in RNAcentral is "partial 16S ribosomal RNA". It matches the Rfam family "Bacterial small subunit ribosomal RNA", at positions 28 to 507 of the family's 1533-position model. The record is from RNAcentral.
GAUGAACGCUGGCGGCGUGCCUAAUACAUGCAAGUCGAGCGAACAGACGAGGAGCUUGCUCCUCUGACGUUAGCGGCGGACGGGUGAGUAACACGUGGAUAACCUACCUAUAAGACUGGGAUAACUUCGGGAAACCGGAGCUAAUACCGGAUAAUAUAUUGAACCGCAUGGUUCAAUAGUGAAAGACGGUUUUGCUGUCACUUAUAGAUGGAUCCGCGCCGCAUUAGCUAGUUGGUAAGGUAACGGCUUACCAAGGCAACGAUGCGUAGCCGACCUGAGAGGGUGAUCGGCCACACUGGAACUGAGACACGGUCCAGACUCCUACGGGAGGCAGCAGUAGGGAAUCUUCCGCAAUGGGCGAAAGCCUGACGGAGCAACGCCGCGUGAGUGAUGAAGGUCUUCGGAUCGUAAAACUCCGUUAUUAGGGAAGAACAAAUGUGUAAGUAACUAUGCGCGUCUUGACGGUACCUAAUCAGAAAGCCACGGCUAACUACGUG